AGCAGUCGCCACGGUAAUACGUAGGUGGCAAGCGUUGUCCGGAAUUAUUGGGCGUAAAGCGCGCGCAGGUGGUUUAAUAAGUCUGAUGUGAAAGCCCACGGCUCAACCGUGGAGGGUCAUUGGAAACUGUCAAACUUGAGUGCAGGAGAGAAAAGUGGAAUUCCUAGUGUAGCGGUGAAAUGCGUAGAGAUUAGGAGGAACACCAACGGCGAAAGCACUCUGCUGGGCCGACACUGACACUGAGAGACGAAAGCUAGGGGAGCAAAUGGGAUUAGAUACCCCUGUAGUCCCUGUCUCUUAUAC
Molecule: ribosomal RNA, 303 nt
Filed under: uncultured bacterium
Lineage: Bacteria
Description: partial 16S ribosomal RNA
Rfam family: Bacterial small subunit ribosomal RNA
Source: RNAcentral